AAGUCUAGUCAUUAUCCCAGGGUGCAAGCUUUUUCUGAGAUAUUUUCUUCCUUUCAAGGGGUUCAAAGGCAUCCAGGGUUCUGCAGAGUGUGAAGAAACUGCACAACACAAUUCCUCUCAACGAUCUCAACAGUUCAACUAGACCUCAACAUUAAGCCCUCUCAGGAGCCUCUCAGGAGCCAGGCCAGGAAUGAGUCAGCCUCAUUGCUAACCCACCAAGCCAGCGGAGAGCCGCAGGGUGUGCUGCUUUUUGUUUUUGCCUUAAUAUCCACAAUCAAUCCAUGUUCUGCUUCAGACCUAAGGAACCAGGACUGGUCAUGCUCUGGACUCCUCCGUUUGAAUCCCCCAGCUCUACAAGGAGAACACUUUGCUUCGCCUCUCCACUGCCCGAGGACAGCAAGCACCCAGUCUGGCUGCAUCACCCCGAGGCGAAAAGCCUCUUUCCUGUGAGCCUCUGAAACAAUGCCGAUCUCUCCGCCGUCACCAUAGGAACAGGCUCCACCCCCAGCAGCCCCUGCUUUCAGCCAGCCACGCUCACCGAGGACAGGGGCACUUCUUCUGUCUUUCUGCUCACUUCUCUUCAAGUGUUAUCCAUAAUUUAGAGGUGAAACCCUGUUUUACACUGUACGAUUAGAAGAAAAACACUCAAUUCUGUAACGCGUGUGAACGUCUUUCCCUUUUAGUACUUACUGUAGUUCUUAAGUGUGCUUUUGUGCGCUAUCCAAGAUUUUUAUAGUUAACUAUCACACUGAAAAUAUAAUUUACACAACUCUC
Long non-coding RNA from Conger conger (European conger), 774 nucleotides. RefSeq lists it as uncharacterized. Lineage: Eukaryota; Metazoa; Chordata; Actinopteri; Anguilliformes; Congridae. The record is from RefSeq and is a predicted model, not a curated record. The transcript is spliced from 3 exons.